UUAAAUUGCUGURGUAUUUUGACUAUACAACUUUUUGGAAAAAUAUUUUUUAUUAGGAUGCUAAGAGAAUGGACUCUCAGAGAAAAACUUUUUUUAAUUAAAAAUUGAAAUUUUUUUAAUUUGUGCAGAAACAAUUAUUAAUAUUAAGGACAAGAAGACCCUAUGAAUUUAUUAAAUUUCAUUCAAUAUGUAAUUACUAUUGAAGAAAUUUUGGCUGGGGCGGCUAAAAAAUAUUUUAAACUUUUUAAAAAUAAAAUGAUCCAUUAUUAAUGAUUAUAUGUUAAAUACUCUAGGGAUAACAGCGUUAUAUUUUUUGAUAGACCAUAUUGACAAAAAAGUUUGCGACCUCGAUGUUGGAUUAGGAUACUUUUUUAAUGCAGAUAUUAAAAAAAGAAGUUUGUUCAACUUUCAAUUUCCUACAUGAUCUGAGUUCAGACCGG
RNAcentral lists this ribosomal RNA (440 nucleotides) under Rhipicephalus turanicus. Its description in RNAcentral is "partial 16S ribosomal RNA". The stretch from base 295 to 440 matches the Rfam family "Archaeal large subunit ribosomal RNA", at positions 2544 to 2690 of the family's 2987-position model. Lineage: Eukaryota; Metazoa; Arthropoda; Arachnida; Ixodida; Ixodidae. The record is from RNAcentral.